RNAcentral lists this ribosomal RNA (804 nucleotides) under Triticum aestivum (bread wheat). RNAcentral describes it as "partial small subunit ribosomal RNA". Lineage: Eukaryota; Viridiplantae; Streptophyta; Magnoliopsida; Poales; Poaceae. The record is from RNAcentral.
AUGAGGGGAAAAUCACAAGGUCAAGGUACACUCAACUUCGAGCCGGGUUCAUCACUUACAUCUGUUUGCACUAAAUAUAAUCCUGAAGAAACUCGUAAGAACAUUGCUAAGAUGGUAAUUGUGCAUGAUUAUCCUUUUAGAAUGGUAGAACACAAAUGGUUUAAUAUCUUGAUGAGACAUAUGAAUCCAGCAUAUAAGUUCAUUGGUAGAAAGACCAUAAGAAAAGAGUGCAUCAAGGUUUAUGAAUCUGAGAAGGAACUUCUUAAGAAGAGUUUCAGGUAUGUCGAACAUAUUUGUUUAACAAGUGACUUGUGGACAUCAAAUCAAAAUCUCUCCUACAUGGCUUUGGUCGCUCACUACAUAGAUGUCCAUUGGGUUAUGCAAUGUCGUGUCCUGAACUUUAUUGAGUUAGAUCCACCACAUUCAGGAAGCAUCAUAGCUCAAGCAAUAUUUGAAUGUUUAUGUGAAUGGAAAAUAGAGGACAAGGUCAUCUCAAUCACAGUUGACAAUGCUAGAAAUAAUGAUGGAGAUGUGAGGAAUUUGAUUAACAAGUUUGUUGCAAGGAAAGUACCUGGCUUCAUUUCCACACAUUUUCAUGUUCGUUGUUGUGCUCACAUAGUCAACUUGGUAGUCAAUGAUGGUUUGGCACCAUUGCAAGCUUUUAUUAGCUCGCUAAGGGAAACUGUGAAGUAUUUGAAGAAGUCUCCUAGUCGCAUGUAUAAAUUCCUUGAAGUUUGUAAAACACUGAAUAUAGAACCUGGGGCUGGACAUAGAUGUGUCAACAAGGUGGAAUUCAACAUAUAA